UUUCACAUACUCCCUCCUAACCUCUUUUCUCUCUCGGCCUCUCACCCCAUCUCACCCUAAUCCACCAAUUCUUGUACAAUUAAACAUGCAACCAUGAAAACAUGAUUCUUGAGUAAUUCUAGUAAUAUUGUUCAUUAAAUUGAUGUUCUUCCUCUCUUUUGGUUAAAUUCCUUCUCUCUUCAUGCAAUUGGGAUUUUUACUUCUCAAAGCUUAAGUGAUGUAUGCAUGUGUGAUUUUGGAGCCGCUUGUGUGAUGAAUUGAUGAUUAGAAGUCAUAAGUUGAAUGUUGGAACAAGUAGAGGCAUGGGUGUUUUAUUUGCAGCAACAAAUUUGGAAACAAGAUGAAGUUGAGCAUGAGUUGUAAUUGGGGUUUUGUUGAGUAUUAAAGGUUGAGCUAUUAGAUGAAUAUUGGUGCUAAAGAGCAGGGCUUUGGCAAGGGAGCAGAAGCUAGAGUUGUUGUUUUGGCUUGGAAUAAAGCUUUUCCAUAGAAUUCAGAAGUUCUAAAAUUCUGGACUGUCACAACUCGCCGGGCGAGCUAGAACUCGAUUAUGAACAUGAUUAUGUAGGUGUCGUGUCUCUUGCUAUCCACGCCAAGGGGAUACAUAAGGUUCACAUCAGGGGAACGAGACACGCUCCACAAGGUAGGCCCGCACGACACUGAGAGGAGUCUGAUGUACCUUAGCUAGGAAUUCAUCGGUCAAGUAUGGGAUUAUACUCGGGGUUACUCCACCCGAUACACUCCGUAAAAUCAAUUCAGAUAAUUGUAUGUUACACGCUAACUUUCUAACAUAAUGAAAGACUAUGGAUAUGAUAUGAUAUGUUUAUGUUAGACUAUGAAGUAUGUAUAAGUUUAUGUACCAAGGCAGGAUUAUGAAGAUACACUGUUGACGAUCUUAGUACCUCCCCGAUCGUCCGGUUCAGGGUCAUGUCAUGAAUAUUUUAUGAUUAGACCUUGAUGCGUUUAUCGUAUCUUGAUAUAGCGGUCUUAGCUUCCCUUGACCGCCAUGACAUGUAGAGUAUAUGGAAAGACUUGUAGCCUAUGAGACGUAGAACCUUAUGACGGUCCUAGUAUGCACGACCGUCUGGAUACGCAUGUUCCACACAAGUAUAAUCAACCGAAUAGUUGUAUUGUAGACACGUGGUAACCCUAGGUUUUCCCCCGUGGUUACCAACGGCCUAAGAUUAGGUAGAACUCACUGAGACAUUAUGUCUCAUCCCAAUCCUCUUUUGUUUCAGAUUAGCAGGUUGGUUUAGCAGCAUGUGGACGGAUGGAUAAUCAACAAGGCUCGUUCGUACUGGUUGCAUGAUUCUCUCAAGGAUUCAAGUGUGUGUGACUAUGUAUUGGAUGAGUAGUAUAGUAUUAUUCAUUGUACGAACGCUUAUUGUUGUAUAUAGUUAUUCAUUUGAAGA
Long non-coding RNA from Medicago truncatula (barrel medic), 1409 nucleotides. RefSeq lists it as uncharacterized. NCBI's taxonomy places the organism in Eukaryota, Viridiplantae, Streptophyta, Magnoliopsida, Fabales, Fabaceae. The transcript has 2 exons. The record is from RefSeq and is a predicted model, not a curated record.